CAAGCUUCCAUUUUUAUUAGCUUGUGCAUUGCUAAUAAAAUAAUUAGAAAUUAACUCUUUCAGGGAAACUAAAUGAAUUCAAAAGGUUUGUGCCGUCCUAUUUGCAGUGCAAUUUAAGGCAACUACUUCUGUUUGCAAAAAUAAGGGCUUUUGUAAUAUUUUUGAUACAUAUUCAUUCAUCUCCUUGCUUGUUAUUUUAUUAUUACAUAACAAGCCACAUUCUGAACUAUAUUUAUGCACUCAAAUCUGGUGUAUUUCUUCUAGAGCUAUCAGGCUGCCUUUGCUUCAAGAACAGGACCAAAUAGUUUGUAGAACUGUAAGCAGAUGGAAAUAUACUUGGUCCAGUGGAAAUGUCAAACUCAAGACCUUGGAGAAGAUAUGAGAGAAAGAUUUCUUGAGAUACCAUCUUUGUCUAAGCACAAAUUAAGGACUCAGUCAUUUCCCUGAAUUGAGAGGAACUCCAGUUUCUACCAGGAAAAGGAGUAAACCAGUGUUUGCUGAUCCACCAGGUCAUAAGACUGAGGACUCAGUCCUGGAAACAGAAACAAAAUCCCAUUUGACUUCCCCAUAUUUAUUUUUUGAUCAAAAUAUGGAACAUGUUAAACCCCACAAAAACCAUCUCAGAGCAUAUGAUAUUAUAUAAGCAUGAUAGGCACACUGGAACAUAUGGACACAUAUGAGUUUAUCAGCUUACCCCUGAAAGGCAUAAGUGAAGUAUUGAUUUGAGCACUAUUUGAGCUACCCUGAUGUUUAGAAAUAAUUCUGUGUGAUUCCUAAAUAACAACAAAAAAUCCUUUCCAUUUUCUGUUUGCAUUGAGGCUCAAUAUAGACUUAACUAUUCAACAAAAUCUAUCCAUGUCUCCCAGAUCUUACCUUUAUUUUCUGAAGGGUGUCUGACUUUUCUAUGAGCUACCUUAGAAUAAAACUGUGCAGUAACUCA
RNAcentral lists this long non-coding RNA (940 nucleotides) under Parus major (Great Tit). Its description in RNAcentral is "lncRNA (ENSPMJG00000002105.1)". Lineage: Eukaryota; Metazoa; Chordata; Aves; Passeriformes; Paridae. The record is from RNAcentral.